Molecule: ribosomal RNA, 666 nt
Filed under: Triticum aestivum (bread wheat)
Lineage: Eukaryota; Viridiplantae; Streptophyta; Magnoliopsida; Poales; Poaceae
Description: partial small subunit ribosomal RNA
Source: RNAcentral
AUGAAACCUGUCAACUCUAAGAAUCCCAUUGAUGUACUGAACAUUAAGCUGAAGAGAUUCAAAAAGUUCGCUAAAGGAUGGAGUGAAAAUCUUUUUGGUAAAUCAAGAAAGAGGAGAAGGGACCUAAGAGAGGAGUUAGAGCACCUAGAAAAAAUGGAAGAAACAAAUGUGUUGUCUCCUGAAUUAUACGAGACAAAAGUUGAUAUUUUGGCAGAAUUAUACAAUCUGUUAGUUGAAGAGGAGGUGGCUUGGAUGCAAAAAUCACAUGAAAACUGGCUUUUGAAAGGGGAUAGAAACACUGACUACUUCCAUAGAAUUGUGAAUGGGAGGAGGCGGAGAAACACUAUCUUUUCUCUUAGCUGUGGGGAUGAGAUAAUUGAAGGGAAUAAUAACCUCUUGAAACAUGCCACAAAUUUCUAUAAAGACCUUUUUGGGCCAGUAGUUGGAAACUUAUGUAAGAUAAAGGAGGAUAUGUGGGAAUCACAAGAGAAACUGUCAGACAUUGAAAACUUUAUCCUUACUAGACCCUUCUCUGAAACAGAAGUCAAGAAUGCUUUAUUCUCUAUGAAACCAAAUAAAGCUCCAGGUCCAGAUAAUAUUCCUAUUGAGUUUUUCCAACAUUGUUGGGAAAUAGUUAAAAGUGAAGUGAUGAUGUUAUUUGACUAG